This 504-nucleotide ribosomal RNA is filed under the name uncultured bacterium. RNAcentral describes it as "partial 16S ribosomal RNA". It matches the Rfam family "Bacterial small subunit ribosomal RNA", at positions 30 to 523 of the family's 1533-position model. The record is from RNAcentral.
AUUGAACGCUGGCGGCAGGCUAAACACAUGCAAGUCGAGCGGUAACAGAGAGAGGCUUGCUUCUCUGCUGACGGGCGGCGGACGGGUGAGUAAAGCCUAGGAAUCUGCCUAGUAGUGGGGUAUAACUUGCCGUAAGGUAAGCUUAUACUUCAUACGUCCUACGGGUAAAAGGCAGGGACCUUCGGGCCAUUCGCUAUUAGAUGAGCGUAGGUCUGAUUAGUUAGUUGGUGAGGUAAUGGCCCACCAAGACCGCGAUCCGUAACUGGUCUGAGAGGAUGAUCAGCCACACUGGAACUGAGACACGGUGCAGACACCUACGGGUGGAAGCAGUUUCGAAUCAUUCACAAUGGGCGAAAGCCUGAUGGUGCGACGCCGCGUGAGGGAUGAAGGUCUUCGGAUUGUAACCUCUGUCACUGGGGAAGAAACGCUUCAAGUUAACAGCUUGAAGCCUGACUUAACCCGGAGAGGAAGCAGUGGCUAACUCUGUGCCAGCCGCCGCCGUAA